RNAcentral lists this long non-coding RNA (293 nucleotides) under Bos taurus (domestic cattle). Its description in RNAcentral is "long non-coding RNA NONBTAT017757". The record is from RNAcentral. Lineage: Eukaryota; Metazoa; Chordata; Mammalia; Artiodactyla; Bovidae.
GCUGAUUCCCAUCUCCUCCCUCAGGAAGUUACCUGCCUAGAUACACCAGUUUCUGGGCCCUCCAAAGUUUCUUUCCCUUAUGGAUGUUCUGAAUUCAACCCUCAGCACUCUAGUUGCCUCUGGAACUUGGGGUCUAGUUUCCCUUCCGGAUAUGCUGACUAGAAGUGCCAUCCAGGCUGCCCACAGAUGGAAGAAUCUCUUUUCCUCUGAAUAAGAUGUGAUGGAGGGGUCCGGGACUUUGAUGUAAUUUCUUCAGAAAUGCUGACUAUGAAAAUAAAUAUCGGCCGUAUCAG